RNAcentral lists this long non-coding RNA (1724 nucleotides) under Dromaius novaehollandiae (emu). Its description in RNAcentral is "lncRNA (ENSDNVG00000018112.1)". Lineage: Eukaryota; Metazoa; Chordata; Aves; Casuariiformes; Dromaiidae. The record is from RNAcentral.
CGGUCUUCGCCUUCCUUUCUUUUUUUCUCUCCCCACACUUAGUUUCUUUGGCUCUGCUUUCUUCUGCUCUCUUGGCUUUUUUUUCUGGCUUACUUUUUUUUCCCCCCUCCUCACAUCACUCUGCGUGCUCUUCUCCUGGUCUUUCUUUUGCCAGAAGUUGAUCUACAAGGCAUCUGAUUUCUGUGUGCGUGUGAGUAAUUUCUUCGCAGGAAGAAAAACUUUUGUGGGUUUUUUUCCUUCUUCUUCUUCUUGGUGUGCGUGUGUGUUGCUCUGCUCUUCGCUUUCCCCUUGAUCUUCACAUGCUUGUCUUUAGCUCUUCCUCCAUCCUGUCUCCUUUUCUGUCGGUCUUUUCCUUUCUGCCCUUCCUGGCUGACUUUUGUUCUCUCCUGCCGAAAACGCACGCUCGCACACACCGAAGACCUUGGGCAGUUUGGUCUUUCACCUCUCCUUCCUUCUUCUUUGUCUUGCAGCUUCUUUCUCCAAGCAGAGACUCCCCGUUGGUGGUGGUGGUCACUUCCUGUUGUCCAUUGAUGAUGACAGAAGGAGAAAAGAAAAGAAAAGGCGGAACAGUGCGAGUGCAUCAGGCUGGCCGGUGGGAGAGGGAUGGAAGGGUGCUGUGGCACUUGAACUACCGUUUGUCCAAUAUCCUUGUAGUGUCGAUCCAAAAUACAUUCGAAGCAUUUAAAAAUGGACUGGCUCACCUGCACAGGUAAGUGGAUUAGAAACCAGGUCCAGAUUUUCUUUGUGGUGGGAUUUGUCAGCUCUGCAAUGAGCAUGCAAGGUAAAACCACUCACAUGAUGAUAGCCCGUUCUUGCUGCUCUUCACAUAUAUUUUUUUCAGAGGGACAGAUACACUCUUCACCUUAAUGUGGGAACCCAUGGACCAUGCGUCCACGUGAAGAGAGGUAAGAACAGAAAACAGUGAGAAAAAAAAUUUUGGCUUUGUCGAUACAGCUUGGCUGAGAAAACAUUAAAUCCAGGCCAGGUUAAGCUAGGAGCUUAGACCUGGGCUGGCUGGGUGGUGAAGACAAGCCCUGAAGUGCUUCUGCACAAACUGGACCUUAGGUACUGAUGCUGUGUUAAUCCAGUCAGGAAGCCUUUCUUGGGUUGGCUACUGAGGCUGUUGUGAACCUUGUCCUAGAUUCAGAUGCCUAAUGUGAGAGUUAAUCCUUAAAAGAGGUGCUGAGGGUUAAGGGGUGCAGUCAUUUAGUAUAUGUGAAGAACAGCAGCAUCUUAAACAUCACCAAGGAAAGGAAACAGUAUGUUGAACAAACAGCAAUGACCAUGAUAAGGAAAAGCAAACCAAUGCCCCUCUAAUUUGCCCCAGGACCAAAUGUAUUCCUGCUUACAGGAUUCAGUAGUCCUAAUUAUUUGGACCUACUGAUUUCAAUGGGAAUUACGCCCUGAUGUAACAGAAAUCAAAUGUAGCUGUUACAUCAGAUUGGUGUAAGUUACAGUCAUUUUGAACAUCUGUUGAAUCACAGACAGGCAUGAUUAUGUACUUCACCCCCUAUAGUCAUUUCCUUACCUAAUUAUAUCCAACCACUUCAUAUGCUACUGUUGAAUUUGCCCAGGUAUAUUUUUGAGUCAGUACUCCUGUAGCUCUCCAAAUGCUAUGACGUUGAGAAAAGAAAGUACUUUUUAAAAUUAAGAGCAGUUUACAAUACGUUACACUUUCAACAUUCAAUUAAAUAAUAAAGAUAUGAGAAUAAAAUCCUUUUGCA